CAGCCGUAAACAAUGUGCGUUAGGUGUGUCGGUAACCACGUGUUACUGAUGCGCCGAAGAGAAAUCGUGAAACGCACCACCUGGGAAGUACGGUCGCAAGGCUGAAACUUAAAGGAAUUGGCGGGGGGAGCACCACAACAGGUGGAGCCUGCGGUUUAAUUGGAUUCAACGCCGGACAUCUCACCGGAUAAGACAGCUGAAUGAUUGUCAAUCUGAAGACCCUGCAUGACUAGCUGAGAGGAGGUGCAUGGGCGUCAGUGACU
This 263-nucleotide ribosomal RNA is filed under the name uncultured archaeon. RNAcentral describes it as "partial 16S ribosomal RNA". It matches the Rfam family "Archaeal small subunit ribosomal RNA", at positions 748 to 1009 of the family's 1478-position model. The record is from RNAcentral.